RNAcentral lists this ribosomal RNA (1009 nucleotides) under Leiopathes montana. RNAcentral describes it as "partial 28S ribosomal RNA". Lineage: Eukaryota; Metazoa; Cnidaria; Anthozoa; Antipatharia; Antipathidae. The record is from RNAcentral.
CUUGACCUCAGAUCAGACAAGGCUACCCGCUGAAUUUAAGCAUAUUAAUAAGCGGAGGAAAAGAAACUAACAAGGAUUCCCCUAGUAACGGCGAGUGAAGCGGGAUCAGCUCAAAUUUAAAAUCUCCGUUGCUUGCAACGGCGAAUUGUAGUUUCGAGAAGCKCUYWCWAGGCGGACCGACCGCGCCYAAGUUGCUUGGAACAGCACGUCAUAGAGGGUGACAACCCCGUCUGUGGCGAGGCCGGCCGCUGUCGAUGUGCUUUCAAAGAGUCGGGUUGUUUGGGAAUGCAGCCCAAAAUGGGUGGUAAACUCCAUCUAAAGCUAAAUAUUGGCACGAGACCGAUAGCGAACAAGUACCGUGAGGGAAAGAUGAAAAGGACUUUGGAAAGAGAGUUAAAAAGUACGUGAAACCGUUAAAAGGGAAACGAAUGGAGCUAGCAAUGCGCCCUGUGAGAUUCAGCCGGCCGGUGGUCCAGGCGCGUGGCUUGCAGAUCUGAAUUGACUGCGGCCGCGUGGUUUGGGCUCCCGACCGUCGCACUUCUUGCGGGCGCGCGUCAACAUGGGUUGGGAGUGGGUCUGAAAGGCACCGGGAAGGUAGGUCCGACCCCUCGGGGCUGGUCUGUUAUAGUCCGGUGUUCUCAUGGCUCGCGCCCGACCGAGGAGUUGCAGCACAUGCCUCUUGUGGCUGGGGUCCCGUCGUUCCGGUUGGUUGUCGACGGCGGUGGACUGCGUGCAGUGCACCGCGACUGCUGCCGGUCGCUACGGUGGUGACUUCGCACCAUGUGCUCAGGAUGUUGGCGGUCAUAUGGCUUCAUCCGACCCGUCUUGAAACACGGACCAAGGAGUCUAACAUGUGCGCGAGUCUUAGGGUGAUUGAAACCCGGGGGCGCAAUGAAAGUGAAGGCAGCCUCGGCUGCUGAGGUGAGAACCUUCCCCGCGGGGAGGGCGCAUCAUCGACCGACCUAUUCUACUCUUAGGAAGGUUUGAGUAAGAGCGCAUUUGUUGGGAC